CCUACGGGUGUCAGCAGUGGGGGAUAUUGGACAAUGGGGGAAACCCUGAUCCAGCGACGCCGCGUGAGUGAAGAAGUAUUUAGGUAUGUAAAGCUCUAUCUGCAGGGAAGAAAGAACUGACGGUACCUGAGUAAGAAGCCCCUGCUAACUACGUGCCAGCAGCCGCUGUAAUACGUAGGGGGCAAGCGUUAUCCGGAAUUACUGGGUGUAAAGGGAGCGUAGACGGUAAGGCAAGUCUGGAGUGAAAGGCGGGGGCCCAACACCCGGACUGCUCUGGAAACUGUGUACCUGGAGUGCAGGAGAGGAAGGCGGAAUUCCUGGUGUAGCGGUGAAAUGCGUAGAUAUUA
RNAcentral lists this ribosomal RNA (347 nucleotides) under uncultured bacterium. RNAcentral describes it as "partial 16S ribosomal RNA". It matches the Rfam family "Bacterial small subunit ribosomal RNA", at positions 338 to 699 of the family's 1533-position model. The record is from RNAcentral.